UACGAAGGGGGCUAGCGUUGCUCGGAAUCACUGGGCGUAAAGCGCACGUAGGCGGAUCGCUAAGGCAGGGGUGAAAUCCUGGAGCUCAACUCCAGAACUGCCUUUGAUACUGGCAAUCUCGAGUCCGGGAGAGGUGAGUGGAACUGCGAGUGUAGAGGUGAAAUUCGUAGAUAUUCGGAAGAACACCAGUGGCGAAGGCGACUUACUGGACACAUAUUGACGCUGAGGUGCGAAAGCGUGGGGAGCAAACAGG
RNAcentral lists this ribosomal RNA (253 nucleotides) under uncultured bacterium. Its description in RNAcentral is "partial 16S ribosomal RNA". It matches the Rfam family "Bacterial small subunit ribosomal RNA", at positions 524 to 776 of the family's 1533-position model. The record is from RNAcentral.